Molecule: ribosomal RNA, 144 nt
Filed under: Triticum aestivum (bread wheat)
Lineage: Eukaryota; Viridiplantae; Streptophyta; Magnoliopsida; Poales; Poaceae
Description: partial small subunit ribosomal RNA
Source: RNAcentral
AUGGGUAAGGUGCACGGAUCGCUGGCCCGAGCCGGGAAGGUGCGGGGCCAGACGCCCAAGGUGGCGAAGCAGGACAAGAAGAAGCAGCCGCGCGGCCUCGUCGGCUUCGGCAAGAAGCGCGGCCCCAACUCGUCCGAGAAGUAG